This 743-nucleotide ribosomal RNA is filed under the name Enterobacteriaceae bacterium DHL-22. RNAcentral describes it as "bacterial SSU rRNA". It matches the Rfam family "Bacterial small subunit ribosomal RNA", at positions 29 to 761 of the family's 1533-position model. The record is from RNAcentral. Lineage: Bacteria; Pseudomonadati; Pseudomonadota; Gammaproteobacteria; Enterobacterales; Enterobacteriaceae.
UUGAACGCUGGCGGCAGGCCUAACACAUGCAAGUCGAACGGUAACAGGAAGAAGCUUGCUUCUUUGCUGACGAGUGGCGGACGGGUGAGUAAUGUCUGGGAAACUGCCUGAUGGAGGGGGAUAACUACUGGAAACGGUAGCUAAUACCGCAUAACGUCGCAAGACCAAAGAGGGGGACCUUCGGGCCUCUUGCCAUCGGAUGUGCCCAGAUGGGAUUAGCUAGUAGGUGGGGUAACGGCUCACCUAGGCGACGAUCCCUAGCUGGUCUGAGAGGAUGACCAGCCACACUGGAACUGAGACACGGUCCAGACUCCUACGGGAGGCAGCAGUGGGGAAUAUUGCACAAUGGGCGCAAGCCUGAUGCAGCCAUGCCGCGUGUAUGAAGAAGGCCUUCGGGUUGUAAAGUACUUUCAGCGGGGAGGAAGGGAGUAAAGUUAAUACCUUUGCUCAUUGACGUUACCCGCAGAAGAAGCACCGGCUAACUCCGUGCCAGCAGCCGCGGUAAUACGGAGGGUGCAAGCGUUAAUCGGAAUUACUGGGCGUAAAGCGCACGCAGGCGGUUUGUUAAGUCAGAUGUGAAAUCCCCGGGCUCAACCUGGGAACUGCAUCUGAUACUGGCAAGCUUGAGUCUCGUAGAGGGGGGUAGAAUUCCAGGUGUAGCGGUGAAAUGCGUAGAGAUCUGGAGGAAUACCGGUGGCGAAGGCGGCCCCCUGGACGAAGACUGACGCUCAGGUGCGAAAGCG